Molecule: transfer RNA, 74 nt
Filed under: Podarcis lilfordi (Lilford's wall lizard)
Lineage: Eukaryota; Metazoa; Chordata; Lepidosauria; Squamata; Lacertidae
Description: tRNA.Lys
Rfam family: tRNA (bases 6-67)
About the family: Transfer RNA (tRNA) molecules are approximately 80 nucleotides in length. Their secondary structure includes four short double-helical elements and three loops (D, anti-codon, and T loops).
Source: RNAcentral
UCAGGAUAGCUCAGUUGGUAGAGCAUGAGACUCUUAAUCUCAGGGUUAUGGGUUUGAGCCUCACAUUGGGUGAA